UUGGAGGGCAAGUCUGGUGCCAGCAGCCGCGGUAAUUCCAGCUCCAAUAGCGUAUAUUAAAGUUGUUGCAGUUAAAAAGCUCGUAGUUGAACCUUGGGAUUGACACAUCGGUCGUGCCUUAAGGGGUAUGAACUGGUGUAGUCAAUUUCUCACCUUCUGGAGAACCGCGAUGUCCUUAAUUGGGUGCCGCGAGGAACCAGGACCUUUACUUUGAAAAAAUUAGAGUGUUUAAAGCAGGCAUUUUUGCUUGAAUACAUUAGCAUGGAAUAAUGAAAUAGGACGGCAUGAUUCUAUUUUGUUGGUUUCUAGGAUCACCGUAAUGAUUAAUAGGGAUAGUUGGGGGCAUUAGUAUUCAAUUGUCAGAGGUGAAAUUCUUGGAUUUAUUGAAGACUAACUACUGCGAAAGCAUUUGCCAAGGAUGUUUUCAUUAAUCAAGAACGAAAGUUAGGGGAUCGAAGACGGUCAGAUACCGUCGUAGUCUUAACCAUAAACUAUGCCGACUAGGAAUCAGACGAUGUUAAUUUUUUAAUGACUCGUUUGGCACCUUACGGGAAACCAAAGUGUUUGGGUUC
RNAcentral lists this ribosomal RNA (572 nucleotides) under uncultured Glomeromycotina. RNAcentral describes it as "SSU rRNA". It matches the Rfam family "Eukaryotic small subunit ribosomal RNA", at positions 548 to 1114 of the family's 1831-position model. The record is from RNAcentral. Lineage: Eukaryota; Fungi; Glomeromycota.